This 75-nucleotide transfer RNA is filed under the name Candidatus Aenigmatarchaeota archaeon. RNAcentral describes it as "tRNA-Glu". It matches the Rfam family "tRNA". Rfam says of the family: Transfer RNA (tRNA) molecules are approximately 80 nucleotides in length. Their secondary structure includes four short double-helical elements and three loops (D, anti-codon, and T loops). Further hydrogen bonds mediate the characteristic L-shaped molecular structure. tRNAs have two regions of fundamental functional importance: the anti-codon, which is responsible for specific mRNA codon recognition, and the 3' end, to which the tRNAs corresponding amino acid is attached (by aminoacyl-tRNA synthetases). tRNAs cope with the degeneracy of the genetic code in two manners: having more than one tRNA (with a specific anti-codon) for a particular amino acid; and 'wobble' base-pairing, i.e. permitting non-standard base-pairing at the 3rd anti-codon position. Lineage: Archaea; Nanobdellati; Candidatus Aenigmatarchaeota. The record is from RNAcentral.
GCUCCCGUAGUCUAGCCCGGCCAAGGAUAUCGGCCUUUCGAGCCGAGGACACGGGUUCAAAUCCCGUCGGGAGCA